Molecule: non-coding RNA, 632 nt
Organism: Corapipo altera (White-ruffed manakin)
Lineage: Eukaryota; Metazoa; Chordata; Aves; Passeriformes; Pipridae
Source: the annotation of a RefSeq genome assembly
GCUCCGCCCCCCCGCCCCGCCGUGGGGGGCUCCGCCCUCCCCGGCCCGACCCCCCGACGACCCCGGGGGUCUCCACCCCCCGCGGCUCCACCCCAGGUAAGUUUUUUGGGGGGGGUGUGUCUCCAACCCCCAAACCCGACCUCGGCCUUCGGGGUCGACGCCGACCUCAAGCCGGCGGCGUCUCCGUAGGCUCCGCCCACUCGCCCCGUCCCGCGGGGCUCCGCCCACCCCGGGUCGACCUCCCGACGACCUCGGGGGUCUCCACCUCCCGGGCCGUGACCCCAGCCUCCUCCCGCAAGCCCCGCCCCCCGACCGUCGACGUCUUCCACACGUGCGACGCCGCGCCGGCGGUGGAGCUCCUCUGCCUGGUCGCCGCCUUCGCCCCGCCCCCCGUCGAGGUCACCUGGCUGGCCGACGGCCACGCCCUGGCGCCGGCCCCGCCCGUUGAGCCGCCCGCCCCCGACGCGGCGCCGGGGACCUUCCGGCUGCUCUCGCGGGUCAACGUCUCGCUGGAGGAUUGGCAAGAGCGCAGCUUCUCGUGCCGCGUCGCCCACCCGGCCUCCGGCGCCGUCCAGGAGGUCGCCGCCCACAAGUGCGCCGGUCUCCAAGACCUUGGGUUGACCCAACCUUGA